Molecule: long non-coding RNA, 414 nt
Filed under: Canis lupus familiaris (dog)
Lineage: Eukaryota; Metazoa; Chordata; Mammalia; Carnivora; Canidae
Description: lncRNA (ENSCAFG00030025369.1)
Source: RNAcentral
AUGCAGAUUCCCAUUCUCCGUGCUGAAUUCGUUGAUGAUUUAUAUGCACUUGAACAUUCGAGAACUCAUGAGACUCACCAUGCACGCUGGGCUGGAAAGUCAUUAAAAGUGCAGAAGCAUGGCAUGUUAUGGUGCUCUGUGUCGCAGAACCCCCAGGCAACCCGAAGGCAACACAGAUUGAUAAAGAAACUGUACUUCAUACUUCAAAAACCUCAGAAUGAAUCCUAUGCCCUUGAGAUCCAGCAAUUCCACUUCCAGGAAUUCCAGGCUUUGGAGCCAGUGAGUGAGGAAGCUACCUUUGUUUGGAAGAACGACGCUGAUAUCAUUUUGUUAUGUGUCCACUUGGAUUAUAACACUGGCAUCCUGGAAAGAAAACAAUUCUCCAAACUUCUGUCCCCAGCCACGUGCUCCUGA